UUCUCUGGAGAGCUUUCUGUAAAACCCGGGAAACGGGGAAGGAACAGGAACGCCGAAGGUGUAAGGCAGUAAAAACUGCUGAUCUCUCAGGCAAAAGGACAGGGUA
This 106-nucleotide non-coding RNA is filed under the name uncultured Ruminococcus sp. RNAcentral describes it as "Glycine riboswitch". It matches the Rfam family "Glycine riboswitch aptamer", at positions 9 to 86 of the family's 94-position model. From Rfam's summary of the family: This family represents the bacterial glycine riboswitch. Glycine riboswitches usually consist of two metabolite-binding aptamers domains with similar structures in tandem. The record is from RNAcentral. Lineage: Bacteria; Bacillati; Bacillota; Clostridia; Eubacteriales; Oscillospiraceae.